This 497-nucleotide ribosomal RNA is filed under the name uncultured bacterium. RNAcentral's name for it is "partial 16S ribosomal RNA". It matches the Rfam family "Bacterial small subunit ribosomal RNA", at positions 28 to 507 of the family's 1533-position model. The record is from RNAcentral.
GAUGAACGCUGGCGGCGUGCCUAAUACAUGCAAGUCGAGCGAACGGACGAGAAGCUUGCUUCUCUGAUGUUAGCGGCGGACGGGUGAGUAACACGUGGAUAACCUACCUAUAAGACUGGGAUAACUUCGGGAAACCGGAGCUAAUACCGGAUAAUAUUCUGAACCGCAUGGUUCAAAAGUGAAAGACGGUCUUGCUGUCACUUAUAGAUGGAUCCGCGCUGCAUUAGCUAGUUGGUAAGGUAACGGCUUACCAAGGCAACGAUGCAUAGCCGACCUGAGAGGGUGAUCGGCCACACUGGAACUGAGACACGGUCCAGACUCCUACGGGAGGCAGCAGUAGGGAAUCUUCCGCAAUGGGCGAAAGCCUGACGGAGCAACGCCGCGUGAGUGAUGAAGGUCUUCGGAUCGUAAAACUCUGUUAUUAGGGAAGAACAUAUGAGUAAGUAACUGUGCACAUCUUGACGGUACCUAAUCAGAAAGCCACGGCUAACUACGUG